UCUGAAUAGGGCGCAUAAGUAACAGGUCGUAGACCCGAAACCAGGUGAUCUACCCAUGUCCAGGAUGAAGGUAAGGUAAUACUUACUGGAGGUCCGAACCCACGCACGUUGAAAAGUGCGGGGAUGAGGUGUGGGUAGCGGAGAAAUUCCAAUCGAACUUGGAGAUAGCUGGUUCUCUCCGAAAUAGCUUUAGGGCUAGCCUCGAGGUAAAGAGUCAUGGAGGUAGAGCACUGUUUGGACUAGGGGCCCUUCUCGGGUUACCGAAUUCAGAUAAACUCCGAAUGCCAUGUACUUAUACUCGGGAGUCAGACUGCGAGUGAUAAGAUCCGUAGUCGAAAGGGAAACAGCCCAGACCACCAGUUAAGGUCCCCAAAUAUAUGUUAAGUGGAAAAGGAUGUGGGGUUGCUUAGACAACCAGGAUGUUGGCUUAGAAGCAGCCACCAUUGAAAGAGUGCGUAAUAGCUCACUGGUCGAGUGACCCCGCGCCGAAAAUGUACCGGGGCUAAACAUAUUACCGAAACUGUGGAUGAACCUCUUUAGAGGUUCGUGGUAGGAGAGCGUUCUAAGGGCGGUGAAGUCAGACCGGAAGGACUGGUGGAGCGCUUAGAAGUGAGAAUGCCGGUAUGAGUAGCGAAAGAAGGGUGAGAAUCCCUUCCACCGAAUAUCUAAGGUUUCCUGAGGAAGGCUCGUCCGCUCAGGGUUAGUCGGGACCUAAGCCGAGGCCGAUAGGCGUAGGCGAUGGACAACAGGUAGAGAUUCCUGUACCAGUGCUAAUUGUUUAACCGAUGGGGUGACACAGAAGGAUAGGGAAUCGCACGAAUGGAAAUGUGCGUCCAAGCAGUGAGUGUGAGAAGUAGGCAAAUCCG
RNAcentral lists this ribosomal RNA (866 nucleotides) under Listeria monocytogenes. RNAcentral describes it as "bacterial LSU rRNA". It matches the Rfam family "Bacterial large subunit ribosomal RNA", at positions 682 to 1544 of the family's 2925-position model. The record is from RNAcentral. Lineage: Bacteria; Bacillati; Bacillota; Bacilli; Caryophanales; Listeriaceae.